UACGUAGGGACCGAGCGUUGUCCGGAAUCAUUGGGCGUAAAGAGCGUGUAGGCGGCUUGUUAAGUCUUGCGUGAAAUCUCGGGGCUCAACCCCGAGCGGUCGUGAGAAACUGGCAGGCUAGAGUGCGGGAGAGGAGAGUGGAAUUCCUGGUGUAGCGGUGAAAUGCGCAGAUAUCAGGAAGAACACCCGUAGCGAAGGCGGCUCUCUGGAACGCAACUGACGCUGAGACGCGAAAGCGUGGGGAGCAAACAGG
This 253-nucleotide ribosomal RNA is filed under the name uncultured bacterium. RNAcentral describes it as "partial 16S ribosomal RNA". It matches the Rfam family "Bacterial small subunit ribosomal RNA", at positions 524 to 776 of the family's 1533-position model. The record is from RNAcentral.